This 191-nucleotide non-coding RNA is filed under the name Enterococcus thailandicus. RNAcentral's name for it is "Enterococcus sRNA 2410". It matches the Rfam family "Enterococcus sRNA 2410". From Rfam's summary of the family: Produced as 2 transcripts on Northern blot. Expressed in mid, late exponential and early stationary phases of growth. The record is from Rfam by way of RNAcentral. Lineage: Bacteria; Bacillati; Bacillota; Bacilli; Lactobacillales; Enterococcaceae.
UUAGCUACUUUAGAUAGGUUUGUAUUCAUCAUGAUGGAUACAAACGUUAAACAACUUGUUUGUAUCUAUGAUGGCUAAAGAACUUUGUAUUACGCAAAAAGCCACGUAGACAUUACGCUAAGUGGCUAAGCAAAGAAAAUACAAAGUAUUUCUGGUACCAUACUUUUCUAUUUAUUUUCUCGCUUUUUCGA